CCAAUGGUGGAACGUUACCAAACUGUUUGCCUCGGCGGGGUCACGCCCCGGGUGCGUUAUAAGCCCCGGAACCAGGCGCCCGCCGGAGGAACCAACCAAACUCUUUCUGUAGUCCCCUCGCGGACGUAUUUCUUACAGCUCUGAGCAAAAAUUCAAAAUGAAUCAAAACUUUCAACAACGGAUCUCUUGGUUCUGGCAUCGAUGAAGAACGCAGCGAAAUGCGAUAAGUAAUGUGAAUUGCAGAAUUCAGUGAAUCAUCGAAUCUUUGAACGCACAUUGCGCCCGCCAGUAUUCUGGCGGGCAUGCCUGUCCGAGCGUCAUUUCAACCCUCGAACCCCUCCGGGGGAUCGGCGUUGGGGAUCGGGACCCCUCACCGGGUGCCGGCCCUGAAAUACAGUGGCGGUCUCGCCGCAGCCUCUCCUGCGCAGUAGUUUGCACAACUCGCACCGGGAGCGCGGCGCGUCCACGUCCGUAAAACACCCAACUUCUGAAAUGUUGACCUCGGAUCAGGUAGGAAUACCCGCUGAACUUAAGCAUAUCAAUAAG
RNAcentral lists this ribosomal RNA (546 nucleotides) under Trichoderma sp. INBio2958A. Its description in RNAcentral is "eukaryotic LSU rRNA". The stretch from base 167 to 320 matches the Rfam family "5.8S ribosomal RNA". Lineage: Eukaryota; Fungi; Ascomycota; Sordariomycetes; Hypocreales; Hypocreaceae. The record is from RNAcentral.